GAGUGUUUAGAGUGGAAGACUCAUAAUAAGAUUGACAAGAAACCAAGAAAUGAAUGCAGGUCAAGGCAUUGUACAUGAAAGAGAUUUUGAAAAGAUUUAACACAACAA
Molecule: long non-coding RNA, 108 nt
Organism: Camelina sativa (false flax)
Lineage: Eukaryota; Viridiplantae; Streptophyta; Magnoliopsida; Brassicales; Brassicaceae
Source: RefSeq, a predicted model, not a curated record